Cyprinodon tularosa is the source of this 331-nucleotide long non-coding RNA. RefSeq lists it as uncharacterized. Lineage: Eukaryota; Metazoa; Chordata; Actinopteri; Cyprinodontiformes; Cyprinodontidae. The transcript has 3 exons. The record is from RefSeq and is a predicted model, not a curated record.
CUGUCUCUCUCUCUUCUCUGCAGGGUGUGAUGGGCAGGUGCAGCUCAUCUCGGUUAAUUUUGGAGCCUACUUAAGGAGCUGGGACCAGGAGGAGGGCGUCAGUUCUUUCUCGCUACCAGCGUGCCACCAACCAAGCCAGUUUGCCACAGCCCUCCUCCAGGAGCCCACCUGCCUGUCCACCCUCCUACAAACCAUCACCUGAGGAAUGCAGAGUCAGUUGCUCCUGGACCCUGGACACAUCCUUCCUAGCUCAAGACAACCUCAAGCCCCGCUGUACCAGGAAGAUCCUGCCAGACUCCAUUUUCUGUUCCUUGUUUCAAUAAACUUUUCC